UCGAAGUUCCAAUUGCCUGUUUCUGAUAGCUGCAUAAUUCCUUUGAAUAAUAGGGUGGUGCCAAGAAGGUUAUUAUCUCUGCUCCAAGCAAAGAUGCACCUAUGUUUGUUGUUGGUGUCAAUGAGGACAAGUACACCUCAGAUGUUAACAUUGUCUCCAAUGCUAGCUGCACCACAAAUUGCCUUGCUCCCCUCGCUAAGGUGUGUUGUUGCAUCUUUGAGCUUUUUUUUAGUUGUUUCUGCUCUUCUGAUGUAGAUUGGUUAUUAAUUAAUGAUGUCUAUUUUCAUAAACCAGGUCAUCAAUGACAACUUUGGUAUCAUUGAGGGUCUGAUGACAACUGUUCAUGCCAUCACUGGUGAGUUCCGUUUGGCUGAUGAGCAAUCUUUUGCACUUGCAUUAUUGGGAAGUACUUGUAGUUGGCUGUAAAAUGACAGCAGUAUACUUCUAUGUCAGCCACCCAGAAGACUGUUGAUGGCCCAUCAGCCAAGGACUGGAGAGGUGGCAGGGCUGCCAGCUUCAACAUCAUUCCCAGCAGCACCGGUGCUGCCAAGGUAUAUGAUAAACUCGCGAUUUUGUAUGCUGAGAGCUAAUAUUUCCUCGUUUUUCCUAUAGUGGCUCGUUUGCAAAAACUGAUUUGACCAACUGGUUUGGCUGACAAUUAUUGAUAGAAACGUGAUAGCUUGCUUUACCGUGUUUUAGGGUUUACUUAGUUUUGUGAGUUAAUUUAUAUACUGUGGUACCAUAUGUAAGCUGAAAUAACAUAGCUAAAUGAGCAUGCGUAAGUGUUAAAAUGACUUCUAUAUCAACGUGUUGCAGGCUGUUGGUAAGGUUCUUCCUGAAUUGAACGGCAAGCUUACUGGUAUGUCCUUCCGUGUUCCCACUGUGGAUGUCUCGGUUGUUGACCUCACCGUUAGAAUUGAGAAGGCUGCUUCAUAUGAGGACAUCAAGAAGGCUAUCAAGUAAGUAGUUUCUUUUUUUUUAAAUUAAUCUCCAUGAAUGUCAUAACAUUUUCAUGUCGGCAUGACCCAAUGCUAUGUUUGAUGUGGGAGCGUGGUUUCCUGGUCCAUGUUUCUUGCGUGGUUUGGGAUCACAAAACACCAUCGACUUAAUUGGUUUGGUUUUACAGGGCUGCGUCUGAGGGGCCUCUCAAGGGUAUCAUGGGUUACACAGAGGAGGAUUUGGUUUCCACCGACUUCACUGGUGACAGCAGGUAUUGAAUUUUGUUUUGGAUCCUCUUUAAGGAUUAUUAUUACACUUCUAGUGCACACUGCUAUGAUGAAGUAUAAUGAUUCUCUGCUGUAUUUCAUCGUCAUUUCAUUGCUUCUACUCAGGUCGAGCAUCUUCGAUGCCAAGGCUGGAAUCGCUCUGAACGAGCACUUCGUCAAGCUUGUCUCCUGGUAUGACAACGAGUGGGGCUACAGCAACCGUGUCGUCGACCUGGUCCGCCACAUGGCCAAGACCCAGUAGAGCGUUUCGGCUUGAUGGUUCCCAUGGUCUUCCUGGUCGUGGACCGGCUAGCUGCUUGUCUAUGCAGAGAAUAAAUGUGCAUGGUGCCCUCCGGACAGGAUUCAUGCUAAGUUGGGACAUGAGUUGCCUUUUGUUUUUCCUAUCUGCCACCUUCCUGUAACGAAGUUGCUAUUAUGGACCUGAGUUUAGUUUUUGCUUGUGAAGAAUACAAACACAGGGGGGUUGUAAUUUUGCUCUAUUGGUCGGUCUGUUGCAUAGAUGAGCUUUUGUGUUUGGUAACGACAGUCUCAUGGUUCGUCCUGCUUCCUGUGUUCUCUGCUGUCUUCUGCAUUCAUCUUGAUCCCUACCCGUUUCUAUCGUGCGUUGCGCCCUCGUCGCAUGCCUGGUGGCAUCUGUACUUGAGGGAUUGCUGGUUGGAAAAGCACCGUGGGAUGUGCUCUUCAUUCCUUUUGGGUUUCUGCUGGUUGUUUUAGGUGGAAGAAUGAGAUGCCUCUUUUAUUUGGUUUCAUUUCAUUUUUGAGUUGCAUUUGGCUGUGUGGUUCUGAUUCCGACAGGCUGAAGUUUUUGAUAGGCAGCGCUGCUGGAAGCACCGUCGCUUCUAGCUUUGGAGAUGUUCCGUGCCUCGUUCCUUCUCACUGGUUCUGUUUUGUUGGGUAAGCCACGUGCCUGUGUGAUUCUGAUUCCAACCCUUGCUGAUGUUGAUCCGUCGCAGAGCGUUGCUUUUAGCUUCGUGCGGUGCAAAAAACUGUUGCCUCGAGAUGUUGAAUCCCUCGUUCGUGUUGCGGUCAUGUAUGUGACAAAGGGUUAUGGAUACCUCCACGGCGACGAAAAAAAGAGAGAGAGAAGCUACCGCGGCGAUGAAAUACAUAUCCAGACACAGCCCACACAGCGAUCGAGGUGAGGUAGGAUCCAUCAUCCAUGGUGCAGAGGCGGCGACGCGAUCGUGGCAAUCAAGAUGCAGUUGCUGCGCUACAGCGACCAGCGACGCCGCCAGUUCGACCGGGGCGACGCUGCGGAAUGCGUUUGGAUGCCCGCCACAUACUGCCACGCGCACGCGUGCAAGAGGUGUUUGGUUUCGAAGGUCUUAUGAUAAGCUCCACCGAUAAAUCUAAUAAUUUUUUAUUCAAACAUGAAAAUUUAUAGAUGAGAUUUAUAUCUAUAAGUGUUGUAAGUCCAUAAGCUCCUCUAAGAGAUAUUUAUAGGUCGCUCUUUCCUCCCACCACCAAAAUAUUCGGAUUAAGGUUAAAAUCCAAGUUAGAUGUUAUAUUAAUCCUAAAUUUAGAUUUUAUAUUUGAAUUGCAACAUUCUAAUAUAAAAGCACACACAAGAUUCGAUUCAAAAUCAAAUAAAAUCCAAAUCACACUAAUAUUUAAAUAAUUCUAACAAAUUAAAUUUAAAUUUUGGAUUUAAUUUAAUUAAUUUGGAAAAUUCAUAAAAGGAUAAUCUUAUAGUGAUCUGGAUGGAGUAAUUACAAACGCGGCACGGAAAAUUUUUGAAACCCAUAUUUUUACAUAAAAUAAUAUUAUAGAAAAAUCUAAGAUAUUACACAGCAGAUCUGAAUCAUAUCUUCUUCAUCCUCCUCUUAAGUCUUCGACUUCAAUCUUGAAAGAAUCGACGUUUUAAGAAAUAUACAUCACCGAAUGCUGCCUCGGAAUAACCACGAAGGAUGCUCCUGACGUGGGGAUUUGGUUCGAAGAAAGCGCACUGCAUGUAGGCAUGGCCAAAGCGUCCCUCGCCAUCCAAGCCACUGUCCACGAAUGAUCCAGGUGCCAUCACUAGAGCACUUGUCGAACAGAUUCCGGAGAGGCUCGGCCAUGAGGGCGCGGGGGAACGUCCCCUCGCCGUGGACCUUCUUGUGUUCAAGCCGGUGGACCGCCUCCAGGCAGACGAUGCAGGCGACGAGAGCAAAGAUUCCUACACGCCAGACACCAACACAACUCCGUAUGAGAGUCAAUCCGAUCGUCAGUCGUAUCCUAGUAAAUCCAUACGCGUAUACUAGAAAAUAUGCUCGCCGUUGCUACGUGAAAUCAUAUAAAAAUAUAAUAUUAUAUACCAUGUGUAUUCUAUAUAAUAAUACGGUACGUGUCAGUUGAGAACUUUAAUCUUAUUCUAUUUUAUAAAAACAUAAGUCAAAAGGCAGCACCUUCUCUUUCAUUAAGAGGAAGAAGAAACAGUAACUACUGCAACACAGAGUCGUGGAUCAGAGGUCCAAAAGCUCUAAAAUGAAGCCCAAGCACAGAGAACAAUUGACGACUGAGAAAUCUACCCGGGGUGGCAGGAAAGGGAGCGAUCGAACUGACGCCGGCAUGACAUCAAGCUUCACUAAUAGGCUUUCAGGAGCAGGCUUAACGGAAAACACUCGCAAGAAAUGCACCCGAGACACCCAUUGACAGCGAGAUCUACCCUGUGAUGCACCUAGAGCAACAAGCUGACCGCACCAUCUUUUUCUUCACCCUUUCGUUCUUGACACGCCUUCUAAACGCCCGUGCAGAACCUCGACAAACCGGUAGCAGAAGAAAAAGGAGAGCAAGCAUCGUGGUGGUGCCGGGCGGGCGCGAAGGCGACGGCCGGCGGCGCCGGCAGGAUUCGGAACCCGCGGCCGUGGCGGCCUGGCCUUUGGAACCUGACGAGCCCCGACGCCGACGUGUUGCAAACUCGGGGUCGUGGCGUGGCGUCGUGCGCGGUGACCAGGUCUGGACCCAUGGGCCGCACCCAUCGGAUGUGGAACCCGUGGGCGCCCGCACCCGUAGCCCAUGGGUCCGGCUGCCAUCCCUAGUCGCUCUCGGCUUUAUAAGGGCGGCCGCUCCUCAGGCCCCCCAUCUAACCAUAUCCGCCGUCUCCUCGUCAUCGCGGCAUCAGAUCCCAUCCUCGUCUUCGCGGCACCCUUCGCCAUGGGUAGUUGCUCUCUCCUGCCCCGGAUCUCCCUGCUGCUCCAUUUACGAUCUAGCCAGGAGGGUUUUGCUGACUUGUUUCCUUCUGCUUUUCGUUUUGCUGGCUGGAUUUGGGGAUGCAGGCAAGAUUAAGAUCGGAAUCAACGGUGAGUUUUUGCGCCGUACUAGUAGUUCGUGCUCGUUUGGUCUGUGUGCGGUUGAAUCUGGACUGAUCUGAGUGGGUUUUUGCUCGUCCACGUCUGUGAUUCGGCUCAGGUUUCGGAAGGAUCGGCAGGCUCGUGGCCCGUGUCGCCCUCCAGAGCGAGGAUGUCGAGCUCGUCGCCGUCAACGACCCCUUCAUCACCACCGACUACAUGGUACGCGCUUUGCUCGUUGCGGUCAGGCCGUGUGUAGAUCUGGUGGUUUAUUUGGGGGGUUUUGUGGUGGGUUCAGCGUCGAUUCGUGGUUAAUCGUUGCUUCCAGAGUUGUUCUGACUCUGAUGCUUUACUUGAGUUCCACGGAUCUGGGGGGAUUUGUUGGGGGUAUGGGUAUGGGCAGCUUGAGAUUUAGUGCUUCGCUCUGAGCUUAGUUUUGUCAUUUGUGGGUAUGCACAGCUUUAGAUUUAGCGGUUCGCUAUGUGUUUAGUCUUGAUAGGGUACUGCGCUGUGAAUUUUGUGUGCUGUGCUCAUGAUUUAUGUGCUUCCCCUGUCCUGUGUAGACCUACAUGUUCAAGUACGACACCGUGCACGGCCACUGGAAGCACAGUGACAUCAAGCUCAAGGACUCCAAGACCCUUCUAUUCGGUGAGAAGCCGGUCACCGUCUUCGGCAUGAGGUAGCCCCCUGUUACUGCUUCAUUCAGAGAUGGGUUAAGCUUUCUGUUCAAGCUGUGAGCUGAUGUUUGAGCUGCCACAAUUUGAAAGGAACCCCGAAGAGAUCCCGUGGGGUGAGGCUGGGGCUGACUAUGUUGUGGAGUCCACCGGUGUCUUCACUGACAAGGAGAAGGCUGCGGCUCACUUGAAGGUAUAAUUGCUGCUUGAUAGUCCUAUGGCUGUUUUAGAAUGUUUGUAGUUCAUUUGUGUAUCAUGUUUAUGUUCUCCCUAUUUUCUGAAUGUAUGCAUUUGUGGCGGAUUGUAUACUUGCAGGGAGGGGGGACAAAUUAACUGAUGGUCCACUUAGUUGGGCUUAACAAUUGGUGUCUUAAAUUUUAGCAGUAAUUUUUCUUAUUUAUUAACUUGGAAUAUGCAUGGCCUGUGCUUAAUGGUAGCUUCUUGGUUCCCAAUGGAGUUGAUCAUUUGCUUCUGACAUGCUUCGUACCAGUUUGUAUAAUGUCUAUUAGUUUUUGUUGUUUUAAGUAUAGAUACUGGGAGACUAUGAAACAAUGUAGUUUAGUGUCAUGAUUACGAUCUAAUACAUGUAGUCUAUACUCGAUCGCUUUACUUCUCAAGAAAUUGCCUGUUUCUGAUAGCUGCAUUUUCCUUUGAAUAAUAGGGUGGUGCCAAGAAGGUUAUUAUCUCUGCUCCAAGCAAAGAUGCACCUAUGUUUGUUGUUGGUGUCAAUGAGGACAAGUACACCUCAGAUAUUAACAUUGUCUCCAAUGCUAGCUGCACCACAAAUUGCCUUGCUCCCCUCGCGAAGGUG
RNAcentral lists this long non-coding RNA (5977 nucleotides) under Panicum hallii. RNAcentral describes it as "long non-coding RNA (PHAL_LNC000605)". Lineage: Eukaryota; Viridiplantae; Streptophyta; Magnoliopsida; Poales; Poaceae. The record is from RNAcentral.